Molecule: long non-coding RNA, 997 nt
Organism: Empidonax traillii (willow flycatcher)
Lineage: Eukaryota; Metazoa; Chordata; Aves; Passeriformes; Tyrannidae
Exons: 3
Source: RefSeq, a predicted model, not a curated record
CUUUAACUGGAGGCUCAGAGUCCUCAGCUGUGUGAUCUGUUGCUUGGUUAUCCUGUACUGCUCAGCUCUGAAAGAUCUGUAAGUUGAGUGCUGGCUGUUUUUUUGUUCAGGAUGCCUUUCUCUGAAUGCACAGUCACUGCAGUCACUCCUUAGACAGAAUCGCUUCCGUGGUUUUGAUCCAUGAGCCUCCAGACUGAAAAACAGGAGGAGGAGGGUGGGUUAGAGACUCCCUGACAUGCAGAAGCUCAAAGUUGCCAUGCCCACUGUUGGAUUCCAUAAUAUCUCUAGGCCAGAUCUCCUGCCUUAGGAAUGUGGUCCUAGGAAGUAAAACUCCAGGACCUGCCUGGAUUAAGGAAUUAAAGCUGCUUGCCAUGUGGUCAGGUAAGCCCCAAAGCCUUCCUGAUGCUUCAGAAUAUAGGGAGAAGAGCAGGACUAUCCCUUUCACUACCACCAAGACAUUUAAUCAGCUUAGCUCUCUAUAAUCUAACUACAUCUUUGGUGACCUCCAGACCAGUCUUACUAACCAGACAUGAAUAAUUUCUGUGCAAAAAUAGUCUGAUUUAGAAUAUAUCUCACUACAUUUGGGUGACAAAAUAUUUUAGGAGACAUUAUGUUAACCCUCCUGCAUAUCAUGCAGCAGAUGGACUAAAGUUCAAUGACAGGAUGCUGUUUUGGAGAGAGGUAUUUUGUGUAGACAAGAAAAGCUCUUGCCAACAAGAAAAAAACCCCAAAAAACAGAUGCACUUCUUCUGCACCAGGAAAACAGAGGAAAAAAUUUAAUAACAAAAAGAAAAGUAGUUGUGAAGACUCUAAUAACACUACCUGUGAUAGGAGUUACCGCAUGAAGUUACUUUCACUGAUUGUUGUUUCACAAAUAAUGUCAAGUCUUACAGUCCUCUCAUAUUUUUCCCACAAGUCUUAUAUUUGGGUUACACCUACUGGGAAGCACCAGCAGAUCAUCUUCAAAAUGUUCCACAUAAUAGCACUGAGUUUAUAA